CAGGAAGAGGGCAACCAGAGAGGGUGAGAGCGCCGCUCACGGUUACCCACAAGUUUCGGAACAAAGUUGGCAGCAUGAGGAGUCUGGGUUCGAAUCCUAGCACAGCUGGUCGGAUCGCUAGCAGUUAAAAUCUCAGGAGGAACAACAGAAGGUGCCUGGAUGAUCCCUGUUCCAUCUGGGGGCUGCCAAAGCAUUCACUUCAGCCGAAGCCUGUCACCGUAUAGACUAACUGUGGCCUGGAACUUCAGGGCCUUCCUUAUUCUGAAUCUUGUGCUCUUGCCAUCACAUCGUGCCAGGCUCUUGGCUCUCCCCUGGCAUGCACAAAUCUCCCUCUGGAAGUGGGAAGCAGCUGGGUCCCCGGAUGACUGCCACAGUGUGGGAGCCCUCCACCGUGCGUAGAGAGGUUGAAGAGCGGCAGAGAAAGCACUUCCAAUCAAGCGUUGUGACAUCAUACCUCAGCUCUAUGGUGUGAAAUGUAAUAAACAGAAGCUUCAUUUAAAAGGAAAUUGGGGGAAUUCCCUGGCAGGCCAGGGGUUAGUAUUCAGCCUUUCACUGUCAAGGGCACAGGUUCAAUCCUUGGUUAGGGAACUAAGAUCCUGAAAGCCACAAGGUGCAGCCAAAAAAAUUUUUGAAAAAAAUAAAAUAAAAUGGAAUUGGGAGGCCAGAGGGGGAGCUCUCAUAGUCUACCAUUCAGCAUCAGUUGCAGACCCAACAGGAAGAGAAUACCUCACAUUUCUAUCAAGAAGGCUACUACUUUUCUAUCCAGCAAGAAAAGGAAGAAUUUCUCUUGGCCUGGCAACAACCCAGCCAUUGAGAGAUUGCCACAACUCAGCCAAUGAAAAGCCACAACACUUCCAACUCCUAGUUUCCUCCAAUGAGCUCUUUUGGUUAUAACAGCCCCUCCCAAUCCCCCUUCCCCUCUAUAAAAGAAAGUGCCCCUGCUUUGUUCUCCUGACUUGCCUGUGGUUUGCCAUGGAUAACAUGUCCCAAAUUGCAAUUCUUUGCUGUUCCCAAAGAAACCCAUUUUGCUGCUAAAAUUCCUGGGUAUUUUAUUAAGUCAAUACUAG
Bos taurus (domestic cattle) is the source of this 1067-nucleotide long non-coding RNA. NCBI's taxonomy places the organism in Eukaryota, Metazoa, Chordata, Mammalia, Artiodactyla, Bovidae. The record is from Ensembl.